This 403-nucleotide ribosomal RNA is filed under the name uncultured bacterium. RNAcentral describes it as "partial 16S ribosomal RNA". It matches the Rfam family "Bacterial small subunit ribosomal RNA", at positions 30 to 526 of the family's 1533-position model. The record is from RNAcentral.
AUUGAACGCUGGCGGCAGGCCUAACACAUGCAAGUCGAGCGAGCGGCGGACGGGUGAGUAAUGUAUGGGGACUGCCCGAUAGAGGGGGAUAACUACUGGAAACGGUGGCUAAUACCGCAUACUAUCGGAUAACCCAUAUGGGAUUAGCUAGUAGGUGGGGUAAAGGCUCACCUAGGCGACGAUCUCUAGCUGGUCUGAGAGGAUGAUCGUCAACAUGGGGACUGUGACACGGCCCAGAUUCUUACGGAGGCAGCAGGGGGGAAUAUUGCAAAAUGGGGACAAGCCUGAUGCAGCCAUGCCGCGUGUAUGAAGAAUGCCUUGUGGUUGUAAAGUACUUUCAGCGGGGAGGCUUUACCCACAGAAGAAGCACCGGCUAACUCCGUGCCAGCAGCCGCGGUAAUAC